RNAcentral lists this ribosomal RNA (531 nucleotides) under uncultured bacterium. RNAcentral describes it as "partial 16S ribosomal RNA". It matches the Rfam family "Bacterial small subunit ribosomal RNA", at positions 354 to 900 of the family's 1533-position model. The record is from RNAcentral.
UGGGGGAAUAUUGCACAAUGGGCGAAAGCCUGAUGCAGCAACGCCGCGUGAGUGAUGAAGGUCUUCGGAUUGUAAAGCUCUGUCUUUUGGGACGAUAAUGACGGUACCAAAGGAGGAAGCCACGGCUAACUACGUGCCAGCAGCCGCGGUAAUACGUAGGUGGCGAGCGUUGUCCGGAUUUACUGGGCGUAAAGGGUGCGUAGGCGGAUGUUUAAGUGAGAUGUGAAAUACCCGGGCUUAACUUGGGUGCUGCAUUUCAAACUGGANAUCUAGAGUGCAGGAGAGGAGAAUGGAAUUCCUAGUGUAGCGGUGAAAUGCGUAGAGAUUAGGAAGAACACCAGUGGCGAAGGCGAUUCUCUGGACUGUAACUGACGCUGAGGCACGAAAGCGUGGGUAGCAAACAGGAUUAGAUACCCUGGUAGUCCACGCCGUAAACGAUGAGUACUAGGUGUAGGAGGUAUCGACCCCUUCUGUGCCGCAGUAAACACAUUAAGUACUCCGCCUGGGAAAUACCGAUCGCAAGAUUAAAAC